UGGGGAAUUUUGCACAAUGGGCGCAAGCCUGAUGCAGCGACGCCGCGUGAGGGAUGAAGGCCUUCGGGUUGUAAACCUUUUUCGCUCAUGGUCAAGCCGCAGCUUUGGGUUGUGGUGAGGGUAGUGGGUAAAGAAGCGCCGGCUAACUACGUGCCAGCAGCCGCGGUAAUACGUAGGGCGCGAGCGUUGUCCGGAAUUAUUGGGCGUAAAGGGCUUGUAGGCGGUUGGCCGCGUCUGCCGUGAAAUCCUCUGGCUUAACUGGGGGCGUGCGGUGGGUACGGGUUGACUUGAGUGCGGUAGGGGAGACUGGAAUUCCUGGUGUAGCGGGGGAAUGCGCAGAUAUCAGGAGGAACACCGGCGGCGAAGGCGGGUCUCUGGGCCGUUACUGACGCUGAGGAGCGAAAGCGUGGGGAGCGAACAGG
RNAcentral lists this ribosomal RNA (422 nucleotides) under Verrucomicrobiota bacterium. Its description in RNAcentral is "Verrucomicrobia bacterium partial 16S ribosomal RNA". It matches the Rfam family "Bacterial small subunit ribosomal RNA", at positions 355 to 776 of the family's 1533-position model. Lineage: Bacteria; Pseudomonadati; Verrucomicrobiota. The record is from RNAcentral.